GUUUUAAUAGUUUAAAAAAAACACUGGUCUUGUAAGCCAAAAAUAAGAUAUUCUUUUAAAACU
This 63-nucleotide transfer RNA is filed under the name Tarragoilus diuturnus. RNAcentral's name for it is "tRNA-Thr". It matches the Rfam family "tRNA". From Rfam's summary of the family: Transfer RNA (tRNA) molecules are approximately 80 nucleotides in length. Their secondary structure includes four short double-helical elements and three loops (D, anti-codon, and T loops). Lineage: Eukaryota; Metazoa; Arthropoda; Insecta; Orthoptera; Prophalangopsidae. The record is from RNAcentral.